Molecule: ribosomal RNA, 3014 nt
Filed under: Salmonella enterica subsp. enterica serovar Give
Lineage: Bacteria; Pseudomonadati; Pseudomonadota; Gammaproteobacteria; Enterobacterales; Enterobacteriaceae
Description: partial 23S ribosomal RNA
Rfam family: Bacterial large subunit ribosomal RNA
Source: RNAcentral
GGUUAAGCGACUAAGCGUACACGGUGGAUGCCCUGGCAGUCAGAGGCGAUGAAGGACGUGCUAAUCUGCGAUAAGCGCCGGUAAGGUGAUAUGAACCGUUAUAACCGGCGAUUUCCGAAUGGGGAAACCCAGUGUGACUCGUCACACUAUCAUUAACUGAAUCCAUAGGUUAAUGAGGCGAACCGGGGGAACUGAAACAUCUAAGUACCCCGAGGAAAAGAAAUCAACCGAGAUUCCCCCAGUAGCGGCGAGCGAACGGGGAGGAGCCCAGAGCCUGAAUCAGCAUGUGUGUUAGUGGAAGCGUCUGGAAAGGCGCGCGAUACAGGGUGACAGCCCCGUACACAAAAGCGCAUGUGCUGUGAGCUCGAUGAGUAGGGCGGGACACGUGGUAUCCUGUCUGAAUAUGGGGGGACCAUCCUCCAAGGCUAAAUACUCCUGACUGACCGAUAGUGAACCAGUACCGUGAGGGAAAGGCGAAAAGAACCCCGGCGAGGGGAGUGAAAAAGAACCUGAAACCGUGUACGUACAAGCAGUGGGAGCCCCACCACUAAGCCAGUGGUGAACUCCACAUACGCAUCCUUUGCUGAGGAUACGGUUAACGGAGCGAAAGCGACGUUCAACCUCAAAAGAAGCAGAGGGGGCUUAGUGGUGGGGUGACUGCGUACCUUUUGUAUAAUGGGUCAGCGACUUAUAUUCUGUAGCAAGGUUAACCGAAUAGGGGAGCCGGAGGGAAACCGAGUCUUAAUUGGGCGUUAAGUUGCAGGGUAUAGACCCGAAACCCGGUGAUCUAGCCAUGGGCAGGUUGAAGGUUGGGUAACACUAACUGGAGGACCGAACCGACUAAUGUUGAAAAAUUAGCGGAUGACCUGUGGCUGGGGGUGAAAGGCCAAUCAAACCGGGAGAUAGCUGGUUCUCCCCGAAAGCUAUUUAGGUAGCGCCUCGUGAAUUCAUCUCCGGGGGUAGAGCACUGUUUCGGCUAGGGGGCCAUCCCGGCUUACCAACCCGAUGCAAACUGCGAAUACCGGAGAAUGUUAUCACGGGAGACACACGGCGGGUGCUAACGUCCGUCGUGAAGAGGGAAACAACCCAGACCGCCAGCUAAGGUCCCAAAGUCAUGGUUAAGUGGGAAACGAUGUGGGAAGGCCCAGACAGCCAGGAUGUUGGCUUAGAAGCAGCCAUCAUUUAAAGAAAGCGUAAUAGCUCACUGGUCGAGUCGGCCUGCGCGGAAGAUGUAACGGGGCUAAACCAUGCACCGAAGCUGCGGCAGCGACGCUUAUGCGUUGUUGGGUAGGGGAGCGUUCUGUAAGCCUGUGAAGGUGUGUCGUGAGGCAUGCUGGAGGUAUCAGAAGUGCGAAUGCUGACAUAAGUAACGAUAAAGCGGGUGAAAAGCCCGCUCGCCGGAAGACCAAGGGUUCCUGUCCAACGUUAAUCGGGGCAGGGUGAGUCGACCCCUAAGGCGAGGCCGAAAGGCGUAGUCGAUGGGAAACGGGUUAAUAUUCCCGUACUUGGUGUUACUGCGAAGGGGGGACGGAGAAGGCUAUGUUGGCCGGGCGACGGUUGUCCCGGUUUAAGCGUGUAGGCUGGUUUUCCAGGCAAAUCCGGAAAAUCAAGGCUGAGGCGUGAUGACGAGGCACUACGGUGCUGAAGCAACAAAUGCCCUGCUUCCAGGAAAAGCCUCUAAGCAUCAGGUAACAUCAAAUCGUACCCCAAACCGACACAGGUGGUCAGGUAGAGAAUACCAAGGCGCUUGAGAGAACUCGGGUGAAGGAACUAGGCAAAAUGGUGCCGUAACUUCGGGAGAAGGCACGCUGACACGUAGGUGAAGUGAUUUACUCAUGGAGCUGAAGUCAGUCGAAGAUACCAGCUGGCUGCAACUGUUUAUUAAAAACACAGCACUGUGCAAACACGAAAGUGGACGUAUACGGUGUGACGCCUGCCCGGUGCCGGAAGGUUAAUUGAUGGGGUCAGCGCAAGCGAAGCUCCUGAUCGAAGCCCCGGUAAACGGCGGCCGUAACUAUAACGGUCCUAAGGUAGCGAAAUUCCUUGUCGGGUAAGUUCCGACCUGCACGAAUGGCGUAAUGAUGGCCAGGCUGUCUCCACCCGAGACUCAGUGAAAUUGAACUCGCUGUGAAGAUGCAGUGUACCCGCGGCAAGACGGAAAGACCCCGUGAACCUUUACUAUAGCUUGACACUGAACAUUGAGCCUUGAUGUGUAGGAUAGGUGGGAGGCUUUGAAGUGUGGACGCCAGUCUGCAUGGAGCCGACCUUGAAAUACCACCCUUUAAUGUUUGAUGUUCUAACGUGGACCCGUGAUCCGGGUUGCGGACAGUGUCUGGUGGGUAGUUUGACUGGGGCGGUCUCCUCCUAAAGAGUAACGGAGGAGCACGAAGGUUGGCUAAUCCUGGUCGGACAUCAGGAGGUUAGUGCAAUGGCAUAAGCCAGCUUGACUGCGAGCGUGACGGCGCGAGCAGGUGCGAAAGCAGGUCAUAGUGAUCCGGUGGUUCUGAAUGGAAGGGCCAUCGCUCAACGGAUAAAAGGUACUCCGGGGAUAACAGGCUGAUACCGCCCAAGAGUUCAUAUCGACGGCGGUGUUUGGCACCUCGAUGUCGGCUCAUCACAUCCUGGGGCUGAAGUAGGUCCCAAGGGUAUGGCUGUUCGCCAUUUAAAGUGGUACGCGAGCUGGGUUUAGAACGUCGUGAGACAGUUCGGUCCCUAUCUGCCGUGGGCGCUGGAGAACUGAGGGGGGCUGCUCCUAGUACGAGAGGACCGGAGUGGACGCAUCACUGGUGUUCGGGUUGUCAUGCCAAUGGCACUGCCCGGUAGCUAAAUGCGGAAGAGAUAAGUGCUGAAAGCAUCUAAGCACGAAACUUGCCCCGAGAUGAGUUCUCCCUGAGACUUAAAGUCUCCUGAAGGAACGUUGAAGACGACGACGUUGAUAGGCCGGGUGUGUAAGCGCAGCGAUGCGUUGAGCUAACCGGUACUAAUGAACCGUGAGGCUUAACCUUACAACGCCG